CAAAGAUGAAAUCGAGAUCACAAAAUCGGCGUAGUCGAGGAAGUGUGGGGGGGCGAUUAAUUGAAAGGUUUCAGAUCACUGGCCAGUCUCCCCCAGGACCCCCACACUUGCCCAACCCACCAGGAAAACUUGGCCAUUUUCUAUGCCCUCACGCUCACUCACAAGCUUACAGACACAACCCUUUCUCUCUAUACAUAGUACACAAAUCUAUGCUUUGCUUUGGAAAUAGAGCAGCAGGAGGGAAAUGAUCAACACCAACUCAUCCUCAUCAUCAGCGAAGCCGCCUCCUCCUACUCAACCGCCGCAAUCGAUGGCCGCAUCAUCAUCUACAGCGACCAAGACAUCAACGGCGCCGCCUACCUCUGAUGGCUCAGGCAAGAAGGUGAGGAAGCCCUAUACCAUCACCAAGUCCCGAGAGAGCUGGACCGAAGAAGAGCACGACAAGUUCCUCGAAGCUCUUCAGCGGUUUGAUCGUGACUGGAAAAAGAUAGAAGAUUUUGUGGGUUCGAAGACAGUAAUCCAGAUUCGGAGUCAUGCACAAAAAUACUUUUUGAAGGUCCAAAAGAAUGGGACAACUGCACAUGUGCCUCCUCCUCGUCCUAAGCGUAAAGCUGCUUAUCCUUAUCCACAGAAGGCAUCCAAAAAUGUUUUAGUGCCACUCCCAGCAUCCCUGACUUACCCUUCUUCUGUGAAUACACUUGCACCUGGAUAUGCUCCAUGGGAUGACGCUUCCAUGUUAAUAAAUAUUACAAGCAGCAAAAUCAUGUCAUUGCAAGAUGAAUUUAACAGUCUUCAUGGAGCUGAAGCUGAUAUUGGAUCAAAGGGGAUAGCAUGGAUAAGUAACAAUAAUGUUAGUGGCCUGGGGACCUUAAGUAGAACACGGCCAAGUUCUGAGAUACCAAAACAAGGGAAACAGGCUCCUGUGCUUCAUGGUUUACCAGAUUUUGCUGAAGUAUAUAGUUUCAUUGGGAGUGUCUUUGAUCCAGACACCACAGGUCAUGUGAAAAAGCUCGAAGAAAUGGACCCUAUAAAUUUUGAAACUGUUUUGUUAUUGAUGAGGAACCUCACUGUUAACUUGUCUAGCCCAGAUUUUGAGCCAAUUGUAAGUAUUAUUGCUCUUUUUUGUAGCUUGUAACUGCAUAAAACUGGUUGUUGAUAAGAAUGUACCACAAUUUGAUAUGUUAGAAAAAGAAUUAAAAAACUUCCUUGGUACAUUUACUUGUUUUACUUAUCUUGGUUCAUUGAAUUUGAAAGAGUCCUACUUUUGAUCUUUAUACAACAAUGAUGUUCUCCAUGCAAUUGUACUACAUAGUAGAAUUUUACAUAAAAAUAAUUCUUUACUUUAUGCAGAUAAGGAAUUAACAUAUUUCAUUUUUUUUUUUAAUGUUAAAUAAGUGCAUGUUUAAAUAGCUUGUAUGAAUUUAAAAAAAAUGUAUUGCUUCAUGAAGUGGCAAUUUUGGUGUUGAUAAGACUUUUUUUAUCGAUCAUUUCUCCUUAAAGAGAGUCUGUAUGUUAAGGCUUUUAUGUGUUUCCAUAGAAGUCUAUUGCAAUUUGCAAAUGAAGUUCAGUAAUUGAAAGAAUUAUAUUGUAGAAAGGCUGAGAGGGGUAGUAAACAAACAAAAAAAUCGAGAGCAGUUAUUUUUACCAAGAGGGUGAAGAUAUAUGUUCAAGCAGAGGAUUCAAAUGUGAAAUCAGUUACUUGUUCUGUCCUAGACAAAUAUGUAAAAGAGAUGGUAUGCUGUUGUGGGAACUGAAUAUGAAUGAGAUUCCAAAUUGUGAAAAGACUGUUUGGCUAACUAUGAUUUGUGAAGCAUGUGAAUCAAAAUCAUUGACUUCUGAAUCCCUCUCUUCAUAAUCUUCUCUCAUGUCACAAAUGCACUUUGGUCUAGUUAUAAUUUAGAACGCAAAAUGGCCCUUUUACAAUAUCUUUGAGAUAGGAUUCAUUUUAGAUAUAUUCUUUUAGUUAAAUGAUUAGCAUUUGACAUUGCUAGUUGAUCUCCUUGGUUAAUUCAGCGAAAUGUCCUGUCUUCCUAUGACAUCAAUACCAAAACAGUGGGAGUAACUGCCAAGAACCAAACCAAUGAUAUAUCAAGUUGAAUUUUUGCUACUCGCAACUUGCUGACUAGCGAAUGUUUUAUUCUUACUCUUCUGGUUUUUUUUUCCCCAAUGCCAUGCCUCUCUUUACCCUAAUCUCCUAAUAACUUCUCUCUUCACAGUAACCAGGUGAUGUGCACCUAGAAUUUCUUGCCGCUUCACUGCAACAAUUACAAAUGCCCAUCAUUUCCUGCAGUGCAUACCCUCAAAAUUAGGGAACUCAAAGCAGCCAAAGCCAAGAAGUAUCUAAUGGUGGAAGAAAGCUUUCUAUUGAUUUAUAAGAUCUGCAAUUACAUGGAUCUUGAUUUCCACUGAAACCAGUAGGAAUGGUUGACCCUAUUCUAUACAUGAUUGGGCCUUUCAAGCACAAGUGUGUAUAUGUUGCGAGGUUUGCUUGGUGGCUAUUUAAUCGUUCGUUAAUAUAGUUAAUUUCCAUGUGAUGGUGUACUCUUUGCCAAGGUGGUGUAAUUUUGUAUAUGAAACUUGCUUUUUUUUAUUGUCAGUAUAAGGUGUUACCUUUUCUUUAUUUCUUGUCCCGGUGGGAUUUCACAUUCUCGGAGUAAAGAUGGUUACAAAAGUUGAUUAUGUUCUAUUAA
This 2690-nucleotide unclassified non-coding RNA is filed under the name Hevea brasiliensis (rubber tree). The record is from RNAcentral. Lineage: Eukaryota; Viridiplantae; Streptophyta; Magnoliopsida; Malpighiales; Euphorbiaceae.